Molecule: transfer RNA, 74 nt
Filed under: Kiritimatiella glycovorans
Lineage: Bacteria; Pseudomonadati; Kiritimatiellota; Kiritimatiellia; Kiritimatiellales; Kiritimatiellaceae
Rfam family: tRNA
About the family: Transfer RNA (tRNA) molecules are approximately 80 nucleotides in length. Their secondary structure includes four short double-helical elements and three loops (D, anti-codon, and T loops).
Source: Rfam by way of RNAcentral
CGGGGCGUAGCUCAGCCUGGCAGAGCGCUACAAUGGGGUUGUAGAAGUCGCUGGUUCGAAUCCAGUCGCCCCGA